Molecule: long non-coding RNA, 406 nt
Organism: Lethenteron reissneri (Far Eastern brook lamprey)
Lineage: Eukaryota; Metazoa; Chordata; Hyperoartia; Petromyzontiformes; Petromyzontidae
Source: RefSeq, a predicted model, not a curated record
ACAGCGCGAGGCUCCGUGAGAGAGCGUGGGGAGAGAGCGCCAGGAGAGUGCGGGGGGAGCGCGAGUCGAGCCCCAAGGCUCGGGACUCAAGAAGAGGAGGAGGGGGGGCGACCCCCACAGAGUUCGCGGCCUCGCGGCUGCAGAAGCCACCGGGAGGGGAUAGCGGCCCCCGCGUCUCUCGCUUCCCCGGGCCAAGCGCAGGUCUCACAAUAACCCGUAGGUCUCGCGCGGAGCAGAGCCACGGCGGUCCAUCUCCGGCGGGGCAGCUCCCCCUUUCCUCUGUGCCGCCUCCUCCACGGCUGCGACCAUGUGGCACGAGGCGCGCAAGCAGGAGCGCAAGCUGCGGGGCAUGAUGGUGGACUACAAGAAGCGCGUCGAGCGCCGGCGCGAGUACUACGAGAAGAUC